This 336-nucleotide ribosomal RNA is filed under the name uncultured fungus. Its description in RNAcentral is "SSU rRNA". It matches the Rfam family "Eukaryotic small subunit ribosomal RNA", at positions 365 to 699 of the family's 1831-position model. Lineage: Eukaryota; Fungi. The record is from RNAcentral.
GGGAAUAAGGGUUCGAUUCCGGAAAAGGGAGCCUGAGAAACGGCUACCACAUCCAAGGAAGGCAGCAGGCGCGCAAAUUACCCAAUCCCGACACGGGGAGGUAGUGACAAUAAAUAACAAUAUAGGGCCCUUUCGGGUCUUAUAAUUGGAAUGAGUACAAUUUAAAUCCGUUAACGAGGAACAAUUGGAGGGCAAGUCUGGUGCCAGCAGCCGCGGUAAUUCCAGCUCCAAUAGCGUAUAUUAAAGUUGUUGCAGUUAAAAAGCUCGUAGUUGAACUUCAGACCUGACCGGGCGGUCCGCCUAACGGGGUGUACUGUCUGGCCGGGCCUUUACCUC